Molecule: transfer RNA, 67 nt
Filed under: Neogeoscapheus hanni
Lineage: Eukaryota; Metazoa; Arthropoda; Insecta; Blattodea; Blaberidae
Description: tRNA-Trp
Source: RNAcentral
AAGGCUUUAAGUUAAUAAAAACUUUUACCCUUCAAAGCUAAAUAUAAAGAGUUAUCUUUAAGUCUUA